UACAGAGGUGGCAAGCGUUGUUCGGAAUUACUGGGCGUAAAGGGCGCGUAGGCGGCUCGGCACGUCCGUUGUGAAAUCGCCCGGCUCAACUGGGCGGGGUCGGCGGAUACGGCCGAGCUGGAGCAAGCUAGGGGGUAAUGGAAUUCCCGGUGUAGUGGUGGAAUGCGUAGAUAUCGGGAGGAACACCAGUGGCGAAGGCGGUUGCCUGGAGCUUUGCUGACGCUGAUGCGCGAAAGCGUGGGGAGCGAUCCGG
This 253-nucleotide ribosomal RNA is filed under the name uncultured bacterium. RNAcentral's name for it is "partial 16S ribosomal RNA". It matches the Rfam family "Bacterial small subunit ribosomal RNA", at positions 524 to 776 of the family's 1533-position model. The record is from RNAcentral.